RNAcentral lists this transfer RNA (72 nucleotides) under Bos taurus (domestic cattle). It matches the Rfam family "tRNA". Rfam says of the family: Transfer RNA (tRNA) molecules are approximately 80 nucleotides in length. Lineage: Eukaryota; Metazoa; Chordata; Mammalia; Artiodactyla; Bovidae. RNAcentral also lists the same sequence under 2 other names. The record is from Rfam by way of RNAcentral.
UCCCUGGUGGCUCAGAUGGUAAAGCGUCUGUCUACAAUGCAGGAGACCCAGGUUCAAGCCCUGGGUUGGGAA